RNAcentral lists this ribosomal RNA (405 nucleotides) under Triticum aestivum (bread wheat). Its description in RNAcentral is "partial small subunit ribosomal RNA". Lineage: Eukaryota; Viridiplantae; Streptophyta; Magnoliopsida; Poales; Poaceae. The record is from RNAcentral.
AUGGCCACCGCUCGCUGUCGCGAACCAGCGCGGCCACCGGCCUCCAUUCGCCGCACCUACAUGCCCAUCAGUUGCGCCAACCUCCUCUUCAACGUCUUCGCCCAUGAGAUCAAGCCCGGGACCCCUACCUCGCCGGAUCGACCACGUCUCCCCUCUUUGCCCCGCUCCCCGCCGCCGUUCGACUGCCACCUCGCCGGACUCCGUCGAGCCUCGCCGGCGAACCCCUGCAUCGGGGACCCUGAGACUGUCGGCAACCCCCAGUACGACUAUGGUGUCGACGACCAGUCCUUUGCAGCAGAGCUUCCAGAUGACGGAGCCCAGGAGCCAGCUGCCACUACCGUCGAUGGCUACCUCUACUCCGACAGUGGCUACUUCUACGUUCACGAUGCUGACGGCCAGGAGUAG